Molecule: ribosomal RNA, 253 nt
Filed under: uncultured bacterium
Lineage: Bacteria
Description: partial 16S ribosomal RNA
Rfam family: Bacterial small subunit ribosomal RNA
Source: RNAcentral
UACAGAGGUCUCAAGCGUUGUUCGGAUUCAUUGGGCGUAAAGGGCUCGUAGGCGGCCAACUAAGUCAUACGUGAAAUCCCUCGGCUUAACCGGGGAACUGCGUCUGAUACUGGAUGGCUUGAGUUCGGGAGAGGGAUGCGGAAUUCCAGGUGUAGCGGUGAAAUGCGUAGAUAUCUGGAGGAACACCGGUGGCGAAGGCGGCAUCCUGGACCGAUACUGACGCUGAGGAGCGAAAGCCAGGGGAGCAAACGGG